GUGCUCACUUUGUCAGCACAAAUAUUAAAGCUGGAGCAAUACAGAGAUUUCCAUGACCCCUGUGCAAGGAUGACAUGCAAAUUUGUGAAGCAUUCCAUAUUUUU
Small nuclear RNA from Octodon degus (degu), 104 nucleotides. The record is from Ensembl. NCBI's taxonomy places the organism in Eukaryota, Metazoa, Chordata, Mammalia, Rodentia, Octodontidae.